UGACCUCAAAUCAGGUAGGAUUACCCGCUGAACUUAAGCAUAUCAAUAAGCGGAGGAAAAGAAACUAACAAGGAUU
Molecule: ribosomal RNA, 76 nt
Filed under: Phellinus nigricans
Lineage: Eukaryota; Fungi; Basidiomycota; Agaricomycetes; Hymenochaetales; Hymenochaetaceae
Description: partial 28S ribosomal RNA
Rfam family: Eukaryotic large subunit ribosomal RNA
Source: RNAcentral